Molecule: ribosomal RNA, 424 nt
Filed under: uncultured bacterium
Lineage: Bacteria
Description: bacterial SSU rRNA
Rfam family: Bacterial small subunit ribosomal RNA
Source: RNAcentral
CGACGAAUAUUCCGCAAUGCACGAAAGUGUGACGGAGCAAUGCCGCGUGCAGGAUGAAGCGGCUUCGCCGUGUAAACUGCUGUCAGGGGUCAGAAACACUGAUCGACCCCAAAGGAAGAGCCGGCUAACCCUGUGCCAGCAGCCGCGGUAAUACAGGGGGCUCAAGCGUUAAUCGGAAUCACUGGGCUUAAAGGGUGCGUAGGCGGACGAGAAAGUGUCCUGUGAAAUCCCCCGGCUCAACCGGGGAAUGGCGGGGCAAACUUCUCGUCUUGAGGCAAGUAGAGGCUGUCGGAACGCUAGGUGGAGCGGUGAAAUGCGUAGAGAUCUAGCGGAACGCCGAAGGUGAAGACAGGCAGCUGGGCUUGUCCUGACGCUCAGGCACGAAAGCGUGGGGAGCAAACGGGAUUAGAUACCCGGGUAGUCC